AACGAACGCUGGCGGCAUGCCUAACACAUGCAAGUCGAACGAGACCUUCGGGUCUAGUGGCGCACGGGUGCGUAACGCGUGGGAACCUGCCCUUAGGUUCGGAAUAACUCCCCGAAAGGGGUGCUAAUACCGGAUAAUGUCUUCGGACCAAAGAUUUAUCGCCUUUGGAUGGGCCCGCGUUGGAUUAGCUAGUUGGUAGGGUAAAAGCCUACCAAGGCGACGAUCCAUAGCUGGUCUAAGAGGAUGAUCAGCCACACUGGGACUGAGACACGGCCCAGACUCCUACGGGAGGCCGCAGUGGGGAAUAUUGGACAAUGGGCGGAAGCCUGAUCCAGCAAUGCCGCGUGAGUGAUGAAGGCCUUAGGGUUGUAAAGCUCUUUUAACCGGGAUGAUAAUGACAGUACCGGGAGAAUAAGCUCCGGCUAACUCCGUG
RNAcentral lists this ribosomal RNA (433 nucleotides) under uncultured bacterium. RNAcentral's name for it is "partial 16S ribosomal RNA". It matches the Rfam family "Bacterial small subunit ribosomal RNA", at positions 29 to 507 of the family's 1533-position model. The record is from RNAcentral.